UGGGGAAUAUUGGACAAUGGGCGGAAGCCUGAUCCAGCAACGCCGCGUGAGGGAUGACGGCCUUCGGGUUGUAAACCUCUUUCAGUACCGACGAAGCGAAAGUGACGGUAGGUACAGAAGAAGGACCGGCCAACUACGUGCCAGCAGCCGCGGUAAUACGUAGGGUCCGAGCGUUGUCCGGAAUUAUUGGGCGUAAAGGGCUCGUAGGCGGUUUGUCGCGUCGGGAGUGAAAACAGCGGGCUUAACUCGUUGCUUGCUUUCGAUACGGGCAGACUAGAGGUAUGCAGGGGAGAAUGGAAUUCCUGGUGUAGUGGUGAAAUGCGCAGAUAUCAGGAGGAACACCGGUGGCGAAGGCGGUUCUCUGGGCAUUACCUGACGCUGAGGAGCGAAAGUGUGGGGAGCGAACAGGAUUAGAUACCCUGGUAGUCCACACCGUAAACGUUGGGCGCUAGGUGUGGGGUCCUUUCCACGGAUUCCGUGCCGUAGCUAACGCAUUAAGCGCCCCGCCUGGGGAGUACGGCCGCAAGGCUAAAACUUAAAUGAAUUGACGGGGUC
RNAcentral lists this ribosomal RNA (555 nucleotides) under uncultured bacterium. RNAcentral describes it as "partial 16S ribosomal RNA". It matches the Rfam family "Bacterial small subunit ribosomal RNA", at positions 355 to 920 of the family's 1533-position model. The record is from RNAcentral.